RNAcentral lists this transfer RNA (69 nucleotides) under Ictidomys tridecemlineatus (thirteen-lined ground squirrel). Its description in RNAcentral is "Spermophilus tridecemlineatus (thirteen-lined ground squirrel) tRNA". It matches the Rfam family "tRNA". Rfam says of the family: Transfer RNA (tRNA) molecules are approximately 80 nucleotides in length. Their secondary structure includes four short double-helical elements and three loops (D, anti-codon, and T loops). The record is from Rfam by way of RNAcentral. Lineage: Eukaryota; Metazoa; Chordata; Mammalia; Rodentia; Sciuridae.
AGGGUUGUGGCUCAGAGGUAGAGCACUUGCCUAGCAUGUGUGAGGCACUGGGUUCGAUUCUCAGCCCUG